This 253-nucleotide ribosomal RNA is filed under the name uncultured bacterium. RNAcentral describes it as "partial 16S ribosomal RNA". It matches the Rfam family "Bacterial small subunit ribosomal RNA", at positions 524 to 776 of the family's 1533-position model. The record is from RNAcentral.
UACGGAGGGUGCAAGCGUUAAUCGGAAUUACUGGGCGUAAAGCGCACGCAGGUGGCUGAGUCAGUCGAUUGUGAAAGCCCUGGGCUUAACCUGGGAAUUGCAGUCGAUACUACUCAGCUAGAGUAUGGGAGAGGGUAGUGGAAUUCCCGGUGUAGCGGUGAAAUGCGUAGAUAUCGGGAGGAACAUCAGUGGCGAAGGCGGCUACCUGGCCCAAUACUGACACUCAGGUGCAACAGCGUGGGGAGCAAACAGG